UACCCGGGUAGUCCACGCCGUAAACGAUGGAUACUAGCUGUUUGGGGUAUCGACCCCCUGAGUAGCGAAGCUAACGCGUUAAGUAUCCCGCCUGUGGAGUACGAUCGCAAGAUUAAAAUAUAAAGGAAUUGACGGGGACCCGCACAAGCGGUGGAUUAUGUUCUUUAAUUCGAUGAUAACCGAAGAACCUUACCAGGGCUUGACAUCCAGGGAAGGUCUGCGAAAGUAGACUGUGCCUUUUGGAACCCUGUGACAGGUGAUGCAUGGCCGUCGUCAGCUCGUGUCGUGAGAUGUUAGGUUAAGUCCUUCAACGAGCGCAACCCUUGUGAAUAGUUGUAUUUUUCUAUUCAGACUGCCCCGGUAACGGGGAGGAAGGAGGGGAUGAUGUCAGGUCAGUAUUUCCCUUACGUCCUGGGCUAGAAACGUAAUACAAUGGCUAGUACAAUGCGCAGCGAAGCCGCGAGGUGAAGCAAAUCGCAUCAAAGCUAGUCCCAGUUCGGAUUGUAGGCUGAAACUCGCCUGCAUGAAGUCGGAAUCGCUAGUAAUCGCAAAUCAGCAAGUUGCGGUGAAUACGUUCCUGGGUCUUGUACACACCGCCCGUCAAACCAUGAAAGUGACCAACACCCGAAGUCCGAUUCGUCGGCCUAAGGUGGGGGGCAUGAUUGGGGUUAAGUCGUAACAAG
RNAcentral lists this ribosomal RNA (683 nucleotides) under uncultured Candidatus Saccharibacteria bacterium. RNAcentral describes it as "bacterial SSU rRNA". It matches the Rfam family "Bacterial small subunit ribosomal RNA", at positions 783 to 1495 of the family's 1533-position model. Lineage: Bacteria; Candidatus Saccharimonadota. The record is from RNAcentral.